RNA transcript from Solanum stenotomum, 2671 nucleotides. It is a transcript of the gene named ATP-dependent DNA helicase PIF1-like, with no coding region annotated. The transcript is spliced from 2 exons. NCBI's taxonomy places the organism in Eukaryota, Viridiplantae, Streptophyta, Magnoliopsida, Solanales, Solanaceae. The record is from RefSeq and is a predicted model, not a curated record.
AUUGGAAAUGAAGCAAAGAAGAAACCUCCCUCUAAUUUUGUAAGCAAAUCCGUAAACAUUCAAUAUUUGAAUUUAUUUUUUCUUCUUAAAUUUACUAUAAUGUCUGAUAAAGAUUCAAUAAAUACAGUUAUUUAGAGACUUUGUUGAUACUCACAGCAGAAAAAUACCAUUUUUCCUAACUUAAACCUCUUCUUGAUGAAUAAAGUUUGAAUUUUUUUGUCCAUUUUUUCAGUCAAAAAAACUAUUUUGUGUGUUGAAAUUUGAUUAGCCAAGAAUUGGUUUUCUCACAACAAAAAACGGGGUCUGGGGAGGAUAGAGUGUAAACGGACCUUAUCACUAUUCUCUGAGUCACAGAGGCUGUUUUCGAGGCUUAAGAAUUGGUUUUCUCACAACAACAAACGGGGUUUGGGGAAGGUAGAGUGUACACAGACCUUACCACUAUUUUCCGAGCCAGAGAGGCUGUUGUCGAGGCUUAAGAAUUGGUUUUGUUGAAUUUAGUAAUAUGAAGUUGUCAUUGUUGUACACAGCUAAAACAGCCUAUAGGUUCUUGAGCUCCAAAGCUACAUGGGGGUGUCAAGUUAGUGCAAAGAGUAAGGUAAAAAGUUGUAGAAGUGAACUCAUAAGUACUAAAAAGCCUAAAGUGAAGUUAACUGAGCAGCAAAAUCAAAUCUUGGAAGCAAUUUCAAAUGGGAAUUCUGUUUUCAUUACUGGGUCAGCAGGGACUGGAAAAACCUAUUUACUUCAGCAUAUCAUCACUAAACUUAGGAAGAUUCAUGGGAAAUCUCGGGUUUUUGUUACAGCUUCAACUGGGGUUGCUGCUUGUUCCCUCAAUGGGCAAACCCUUAAUUCUUUUGCUGGAAUUGGACUUGGUGAUGCUAGUUCUGUGGAUUUGCUAUCUAGGGUUUCGUUGGAUAAGAGAGCGUAUCGAAGAUGGAAUAAAGUUAGGGCUUUGGUUAUCGAUGAGAUUAGUAUGGUUAGUGGUGAGGUUUUAGACAAUCUUGAGUUCAUUGCAAGGAGCAUUAGAAGUGAAGAACUUGGCUGUGAGGAGAAGAUUUGGGGUGGGAUACAAUUAGUUGUGAGUGGAGAUUUUUUUCAACUUCCACCAGUUAUUAAUAAGAAGGGACAACAGAAGGAAUUUGCUUUUGAAGCUGAUUGUUGGAAUGCUAGUUUUGACGAACAAAUAGAACUUAAAACUAUCUUUAGGCAGUCAGAUGCACAGCUUAUAAAACUGCUGCAGGGGAUUAGGAAAGGGAAGUAUGAUUCCGAGGAUUUGAAGUUAUUGGAUCAAUGUUGCUCAAAGGUGGAGCCAGAUUCUUCAGCUGUUCAGCUCUACCCACGGAUUGAGGAUGUGAGUAGAGUGAACGCUGAACGACUAGACUGUUUAGAUGAGGUACUGUUUCAUUAUCAAGCUCUUGAUAGUGGUAAAGAUCCUUGGAAGAAGCAGCUUAAGAAUGGAAUUGCACCUGAGCUGCUCAAAUUGUGUGUGGGAUCUCGGGUUCUCUUGACGAAGAACAUUGAUGUUGUUAGUGGACUUGUGAAUGGUGCUACUGGUACAAUCUUAGAUUUUGCUGUUGUUCAAGAUACUCAUAAAUUAUAUGACCGUGAGAUUUCUGAUAUUUGCGGAAAUGGUAACCUGCUACCUGUUGUUAGAUUUGAUUCUGGCCAAGAACUGAUGAUUGGUGUAGAAAGAUGGUAUGUAAUGGAGGGAGAUGAAGCUGUUGCAAUGCGAAAGCAAAUUCCACUCAUAUUGGCUUGGGCUCUAAGCAUUCACAAGUGUCAAGGGAUGACUUUGAACAACCUCCAUACAGACCUCUACCGUGUUUUUGGCUUUGGGAUGGUAUAUGUUGCUCUUUCGCGUGUUAAAAGCUUGGAUGGCCUUAAUCUAGUCAAUUUCAAUCCGUCAAAGAUCAAGGCAAACCCCAAGGUUUUGCAGUUCUAUGAAAGAUUGUCUGCUGAGAAAGAUGAACAAAAGGGAGACAGUGUAACUGAUGAUAUCAAAUUUGGAAGUCUCUGAUGUAAACCUCGAGUAAUGGUAGUAUAAUUCAGGGAAGUUCCUUUGAUGAUCUUAAGCUAGAUAUGUGUGUGGGAAGACAUAUAUGGGACUUUUAAAGUAGAAACAGAUCCAUUCAGAGCAAUCCCGGAAGACGUAACAAAGAUACAAUCUUUGGUCAUUCAAACCAGGGCAUUGAGUUCUUCAUUUCCUCCAGAUUGUCACUUGAAUCCCAGGAACACGCGAAGUAUCUCAGUUAUGUAAAGACAGUUUAUUGUAGAGGAAUGGAUAUACUCCUUCUUUACAAGACCUACAGAGGUGCGUCCUCCUAUGUGUAUCAACAUAUUUCUGUAUAUCUUAUUAGUAUCAAUGGAGCUUUCAUUCAGCUAUAGGAAGGGAUCUUGAUCCAUGACAACCUACUGUACUCUCGAUUGAGACUUUUGUAUAACCAACUGGAUAUUUCAGAUGAAUUAGUGGUUUAACAUGUUUUAUCGCCAAGCUCGUUCAUUGGGGCUUGGUGAGCCAGGUACCAGUAGCUGAAAUGCAGUUGUUUGAUAUGGAUCUUGCUACGUCAAGUGUAUAGCCUAUGAACAUAAAACAUUUGUAUGAUAACGAUAGAACUUGGAGUAUUUGUGAUUGUUUACGAGCUAUUGCAUAGGAACAGGAUUUAGCCUCACUACU